UAGCCAUGCUAGUUGCACGAGUUUAGACUCGUGGCGAAAAGCUCAGUAACACGUGGUCAAACUACCCUACGAAGACCCAUAACCUCGGGAAACUGAGGCUAAUAGGUCAUAGGUGAGUUACGCUGGAAUGCCAACUCUCCCAAACGCUCAGGCGUCGUAGGAUGUGGCUGCGGCCGAUUAGGUAGACGGUGGGGUAACGGCCCACCGUGCCGAUAAUCGGUACGGGUUGUGAGAGCAAGAGCCCGGAGACGGAAUCUGAGACAAGAUUCCGGGCCCUACGGGGCGCAGCAGGCGCGAAACCUUUACACUGCACGCAAGUGCGAUAAGGGGACCCCAAGUGCGAGGGCAUAUAGUCCUCGCUUUUUCCGACCGUAAGGUGGUCGGCGAAUAAGGGCUGGGCAAGACCGGUGCCAGCCGCCGCGGUAAUACCGGCAGCCCAAGUGAUGACCGAUAUUAUUGGGCCUAAAGCGUCCGUAGCCGGCCACGAAGGUUCAUCGGGAAAUCCGCCAGCUCAACUGGCGGGCGUCCGGUGAAAACCACGUGGCUUGGGACCGGAAGGCUCGAGGGGUACGUCCGGGGUAGGAGUGAAAUCCCGUAAUCCUGGACGGACCACCGAUGGCGAAAGCACCUCGAGAAGACGGAUCCGACGGUGAGGGACGAAAGCUAGGGUCUCGAACCGGAUUAGAUACCCGGGUAGUCCUAGCUGUAAACGAUGCUCGCUAGGUGUGGCACAGGCUACGAGCCUGUGCUGUGCCGUAGGGAAGCCGAGAAGCGAGCCGCCUGGGAAGUACGUCCGCAAGGAUGAAACUAAAGGAAUGGCGGGGAGCACUACA
This 833-nucleotide ribosomal RNA is filed under the name Haloferax sp. SA1. RNAcentral's name for it is "bacterial SSU rRNA". It matches the Rfam family "Archaeal small subunit ribosomal RNA", at positions 46 to 883 of the family's 1478-position model. The record is from RNAcentral. Lineage: Archaea; Methanobacteriati; Methanobacteriota; Halobacteria; Halobacteriales; Haloferacaceae.